GGGUCUAAAAUGUGUAGUCUAAUGUUAUCAACGAAUCAAGUCAACAAAGUCAACGCCAUCAAGACAAAGUCAACACGCAAGUCGACACGAGAAGUUCGAAGAAAGAUAUGACGUGUGAAAGAUCGAGACUGGAUAGUUAUAGUGCUUUGGAUAAUUAAAUAUAUUUUGAUUUAAACAAAAUAUAUUUAUUAUCUUGUUUUAUUAGUCUUGAUGUUUAUUGCUACUUUUAGUAAGUUUUAAUCUCUAGGGACUUAAUUGUAAUUAGCCAAAAAUGGUAAGGCUAUAAAUAGAUAGAGAUGAUUAGAGUUUUGGGGAACACACAUGCUAGAUAGAUUUGGGGGGCUAAUUGUAUUCAACUUUUGCAAAUCAAUCUAAGGGUUUUAUUGUUACAUUUUUAGUGUGUUCAUCUCAUUUCUAUAUCAAAAUCAGAUUUUUGGCUCGAUUUGAUCCUACAAUUUGGUAUCAGAGCUUGGUACUCGAAUUUGGGAUUCAACAAUCUUCAAAUUCAUCAUAAAAAAAUCUGAUUUUUAUUUGAAAAAGUUUUGAAGUUUUUAGGGUUUUUGAUUUUAUUCACUAUUUCUUCAAAAUCUUGUGUUUAAAAGGGUUUAAAAUGUUUGCUUGUUGAUUGAGAGCUGAUAAAAGUGUCAUUAGAAAGAUUUAGAGUCAUCUUUCAUAUCAUUUUGGGGGUUUCAAACAGAUCUGGGAGUUUAUAUUCAAGAUCUGGGCGUUUUUAUUUAUGAAUACAGCGAUUUUAUUUUGAACACAGCAAUUUUAUUGAAAGUUCCGGCGAAUUUGAGUUUUCCGGUGACUUUCCGGCGAAGUUAAAAAUUCCGGCAAACUUUUCCGGCGAAAUUAAACCUUGAACGCGAGUUCAAGUUCUCCGACGUAUUAAAUACGCCGGUAAGUUACCGUUUUUCGGAGUCGUUACUCCGGCGAUUUUAAGUAAAGCCGGCGAAAUUAUUAAAAGAAAAGAGUAGAAACAGAAGGUUUUAGGAUUGUAUUGUUUGUUUUGAGCCACACAUCACCACAUUACCCCCAAACUUCCGCCCACCCAAAGAAUCGUUCUUGGCACACAUCACCACUGAAACCACCCUCAUAAAAAUUUAAAAAAAAAAAAAAAAAAAAAAAAAAAAAAAAAGAUCAAGAUCAAGAACUGUUUUCUUCAACAUUAGCUACAAUCUCCAUUCCAAAAGAACCAUCAAGAUUUUCGUUUGCUUUCAUAAGUUCAGCAACUGCAGCUGUUAUCUUGGGUUUACCAGCUUUAUUAGACUUUAAUUUGGCAACUAUCUCACCUUUUUCCUUCACAACACUUCUGGCCAAAUCCACAUCUUGUGUAGGAGGAUUCUUGAUUAGUUCUUUUUCUACCUUUCACUCCUCCGACCACCACUCCGACCAACAUAACCCCGUCAUUAUACGCCACAGCUCACAGCCGCAACACAUCCUUCGACCACCAUCUCCACCACUGAAACAACUUCCGCUAUAGACCACCACCAUCCCCAUCUCCACCGACCGCCGCACCACUCACAACCGAACGUGCAAACGCCGCCGUACCCGCUCCAUCACCUUAACUCCGACCGCCAUACACCGUCGGAGAUCGUUACAUCACCAUCUCCGAUUACCACCACCACCACGAUUUCGAGUUCGCCGUUCCGCUCACCGAACACCACCCCCUUUCCUCCACGAACCACCGAACAUCGCCAUAAAAAAAAAAGCCACUCGAACACCACAUCCACUCGCCGCCCCUUCUCUUUUGUUCGAUCUGUGCGCUGCCACAUGGUGGUGGCCAUCCUCCACCUCUCUCUCAUUCAAAUGAAAAGGGUUUGA
RNAcentral lists this long non-coding RNA (1824 nucleotides) under Helianthus annuus (common sunflower). RNAcentral's name for it is "hypothetical non coding rna". Lineage: Eukaryota; Viridiplantae; Streptophyta; Magnoliopsida; Asterales; Asteraceae. The record is from RNAcentral.